This 461-nucleotide ribosomal RNA is filed under the name uncultured bacterium. RNAcentral describes it as "partial 16S ribosomal RNA". It matches the Rfam family "Bacterial small subunit ribosomal RNA", at positions 29 to 507 of the family's 1533-position model. The record is from RNAcentral.
ACGAACGCUGGCGGCGUGCUUAACACAUGCAAGUCGAGCGGUAAGGCCUUUCGGGGUACACGGGCGGCGAACGGGUGAGUAACACGUGGGUGAUCUGCCCUGCACUUCGGGAUAAGCCGGGGAAACUGGGCCUAAUACCGGAUAGGCCCUCCUAUCGCAGGGUGGGGGGGGGAAGGAUUUAUCGGUGCAGGAUGGGCCCGCGGCCUAUCAGCUUGUUGGUGGGGUAAUGGCCUACCAAGGCGACGACGGGUAGCCGACCUGAGAGGGUGACCGGCCACACUGGGACUGAGACACGGCCCAGACUCCUACGGGAGGCAGCAGUGGGGAAUAUUGCACAAUGGGCGAAAGCCUGAUGCAGCGACGCCGCGUGAGGGAUGACGGCCUUCGGGUUGUAAACCUCUUUCAGCAGGGACGAAGCGCAAGUGACGGUACCUGCAGAAGAAGCACCGGCUAACUACGUG